GCCGAUGUAGCUCAGCUGGCUAGAGCAGCUGAUUUGUAAUCAGCAGGUCGUGGGUUCGAGUCCCUCCAUCGGCUC
This 75-nucleotide transfer RNA is filed under the name Tenacibaculum mesophilum. RNAcentral describes it as "tRNA-Thr". It matches the Rfam family "tRNA". Rfam says of the family: Transfer RNA (tRNA) molecules are approximately 80 nucleotides in length. Their secondary structure includes four short double-helical elements and three loops (D, anti-codon, and T loops). The record is from RNAcentral. Lineage: Bacteria; Pseudomonadati; Bacteroidota; Flavobacteriia; Flavobacteriales; Flavobacteriaceae. RNAcentral also lists the same sequence under 69 other names.